Molecule: ribosomal RNA, 356 nt
Filed under: Anaplasma phagocytophilum
Lineage: Bacteria; Pseudomonadati; Pseudomonadota; Alphaproteobacteria; Rickettsiales; Anaplasmataceae
Description: bacterial SSU rRNA
Rfam family: Bacterial small subunit ribosomal RNA
Source: RNAcentral
GGGGGAAAGAUUUAUCGCUAUUAGAUGAGCCUAUGUUAGAUUAGCUAGUUGGUAGGGUAAAGGCCUACCAAGGCGAUGAUCUAUAGCUGGUCUGAGAGGAUGAUCAGCCACACUGGAACUGAGAUACGGUCCAGACUCCUACGGGAGGCAGCAGUGGGGAAUAUUGGACAAUGGGCGCAAGCCUGAUCCAGCUAUGCCGCGUGAGUGAGGAAGGCCUUAGGGUUGUAAAACUCUUUCAGUAGGGAAGAUAAUGACGGUACCUACAGAAGAAGUCCCGGCAAACUCCGUGCCAGCAGCCGCGGUAAUACGGAGGGGGCAAGCGUUGUUCGGAAUUAUUGGGCGUAAAGGGCAUGUAG